UUAGUGAGAUACGUGACCGUUCUACUUCAUCUGCCAUUGAAUUUUUCACUAGAGCAUAUUGUAGCCCCCCUCUGAUUAUGAAUGAACUCUCCCAGGUAUGAAUGAUGGGAAUCCUUAAGCACUCUGAUACUUGAACAUUUGUUGAAAUGAAUUCAUCACACACUGAAAUUUUGCUUUUCAUUUGAAUCCUUAAGCACUCUGAUACUUGAAUAUUUAUUGAGAUGAAUUCAUCACACUCUGAAAUUUGCUUUUCAUUUUCGUGGAUGAUAUAAAGUUUUCAAGAAAUGAAAUUGUCCGUUGUACCCAUCUGGGCUCUAGAGAUGAAAUUGACGAGAAGAUAUAAGAUUAUUGUGAAUAGUCUCUAGAGCAAGAAUGAUAUUUUGAGUUAUUGCAAUAAAGGAAAUUCCAGGGGCUUUCCUGAGUAUGAAUCAUGCAUUUCUUGUUAGUUUCCUGACGCUUGCUAACCAAGUGGAAGAUUGACUGGUUGCUUAAAUGUUUAAGAUAAUCCAAUCUGGAUGAACAUUAAGUACCUAUACUUGCUUUUAUUUAUACACUAACUUUUGCAGCAUAGCUUUAUUUGUAAUCUUAGUCAGUCUUUUGCUCUUUGUGACAUAAAAUAAUCUCACUAACCUUCAUUAAAAUGCAGAUAAAAAAAGCCAAUUUUUCUGAUGAGAAUUUCUCGGUCAUCGUAAGCAAAUCUGCUAAUGAAGUGGUGGCCACUUACACGAAAGACGAAACAGGAAUGGACCUGGUAAUUCGUCUUCCGGCAUCUUACCCACUAAGGUCUGUGGAUGUAGAUUGUACCAAGAGCCUUGGCUGAAACAGGAAUGGACCUAGUAAUUCGUCUUCCGGCAUCUUACCCACUAAGGUCUGUGGAUGUAGAUUGCACCAAGAGCCUUGGCAUUAGUGAGGUUAAGCAGAGAAAGUGGUUAAUGUCAAUGAUGUCAUUUCUUCGUAAUCAGGUGUCUCCCACUGACUUACUUCUAAUCUGUGCAUCAUUCUCCCAUUCCAUCCCGAUUAUUUCCUGUCUUCCUACUAUUGUAAUCCGUCAAUCUCUCACCUGCUAUAUUCAAAUUUAUCGCCUUGAUAUAUGUAGCUGUUACAUUUAAUCUACUCUUUGAUCAUGCAUGUGUUUCCUUCUGAGGCAUACCUUUUCAAUUUAUAAUGUCAGUCUUCAGUUUUAAUGGUACUAAGGUAUACAAUGUCCCGAUUUUCAGGUAUUGUUAUUUUAGCAUCUUUGUUGUUAAUUAACUGUUUAGUGGCUGUUAUGUUUC
This 1274-nucleotide long non-coding RNA is filed under the name Nicotiana benthamiana. RNAcentral describes it as "long non-coding RNA (NBEN_LNC004083)". The record is from RNAcentral. Lineage: Eukaryota; Viridiplantae; Streptophyta; Magnoliopsida; Solanales; Solanaceae.